AAAAAAUUACCCAAUCCCAUCUUCUCAAUAAGCCCUUCAAGCACACACUCUCUCUCUUAGUCACACUUCCUGCCUCGGGUGCUGUCAAGAUUCGGUAUUACCUUUCGUGGCAUGCAUCUUCAGCCCCUAUUUUAGAUCCUUAUUGACCCUUAUUGAAGCCUGGAGAGUCUCUUACAAUUAGGGAAUUUGGUCCCCACCAGUGUUCUUUUCCAAUUCAGGGGAGUAUCUCCUCGAGUUGUGGUUAUGUAUUGUUUCAUUGAGAAUGUGUG
RNAcentral lists this unclassified non-coding RNA (269 nucleotides) under Hevea brasiliensis (rubber tree). The record is from RNAcentral. Lineage: Eukaryota; Viridiplantae; Streptophyta; Magnoliopsida; Malpighiales; Euphorbiaceae.